ACUUUAUGUUAGUUCGUGCUAUUUAUUGGUGCUUUCUUUCAUUAAGAUCAGUGUGGUUUGUCAAUCGUAUUUUACAUUAUUUUUUAAACAUGUUUAAAGCAUUCAAUGGCAUAUGCUCUUUGAAAUAUUGACCAUUAUAAUACGCUUUUAGAAUUGAUUGUCCUUAGUUAUUUUCAACGCCAAUAAUUGCAAUACAUUUCGACGACGAUUCAACAUGUAUAAACUGCAAAUAUGCAAUAUAUACUGCUGUUUGAUCAUUUACUUUUAUGAAGCCUGAAACAAAAGACUACUCUUGCAACAAGGAGGUAAAUACUGUCCACCAUGAGGGUAACGUUGCUCUUCGCUUUCUUGGCCAUCGUUCUGACAGCCUCGUGCGUCCUCGGAUACCCAGACGAAUACGGCACAGGGGACAAAGACAUUCGCGGCAUGGAUGCCCAAGCAAACAGAGACGAAUAUGAUGGCGGAAUGAUAGACGAAUAUGACAGCAAGAUGGAUGGGAAAAUGGGAUUGGGUGAUGGAAGUGUGGGAAAAUAAUACUUCUGCUAUUGUAAAUUUUUGGGUUGCAAGCGCGGGUGGACCAACGUUGGCAAGUGCUCUAGGUUUUGCUUCAUCCACCCUCUCUGCCGAAAUCGAUGCUGCAGAUAUAUAAAGCAAUAACGAACAGGCAUGAUUCUGGACAUGCAGCCUAAAGGGCGGAUUUGACUGGCAAUACGUAUAAAACAAUAAAUUAUUUUGAUCUUUGCUGUCAAAACACACACAUAUAUAUAUAUAUAUAUA
This is a long non-coding RNA of Dreissena polymorpha, 777 nucleotides long. RefSeq lists it as uncharacterized. The record is from RefSeq and is a predicted model, not a curated record. The transcript has 4 exons. NCBI's taxonomy places the organism in Eukaryota, Metazoa, Mollusca, Bivalvia, Myida, Dreissenidae.